This 253-nucleotide ribosomal RNA is filed under the name Ruminococcus bromii. Its description in RNAcentral is "partial 16S ribosomal RNA". It matches the Rfam family "Bacterial small subunit ribosomal RNA", at positions 524 to 776 of the family's 1533-position model. The record is from RNAcentral. Lineage: Bacteria; Bacillati; Bacillota; Clostridia; Eubacteriales; Oscillospiraceae.
UACGUAGGGAGCAAGCGUUGUCCGGAUUUACUGGGUGUAAAGGGUGCGUAGGCGGCUUUGCAAGUCAGAUGUGAAAUCUAUGGGCUCAACCCAUAAACUGCAUUUGAAACUGUGGAGCUUGAGUGAAGUAGAGGCAGGCGGAAUUCCCCGUGUAGCGGUGAAAUGCGUAGAGAUGGGGAGGAACACCAGUGGCGAAGGCGGCCUGCUGGGCUUUAACUGACGCUGAGGCACGAAAGCGUGGGUAGCAAACAGG